AUCUUACUCUGCCUUUUUUCUUAAAGCCAAUGGUUAAAACAGAUUGAGUGGUUUAAGAAAACCAGACCACAUUACAUUAACCGGUCAGUCAAUUAGGGAGGGUAAAAUAGUCAUUCACAACCCAACCCAAGAAAAGCCCUAGAAAACAGAGUGAAUAAAAAGGGUUGCGCCACUCUUGUCUUCUUCGUAACUCAUCUUCCUCAUAAGUCUCUUUGUUAAUCUCUAUCGUUUUUGUUUUGUGUUUUGAUAUUUGGGGAUAAAAUCCGCCUCCUUGAGUAGCUUUAUGAACCCUAAGUUAUUUAGGCAAUUUCAUACUUAUUGGCUUAGUUAGGAGGCGUAAAUCAAUUCUGAUCAUUCAAUACUUUUCUGUAUUGUUUUGAUUCGUGGCUUCUUUGGUUUUUGUGGAGAAGCUUCUUUGUGUUUUCUUAAUUCAAAUCAAAGCUUCUUCCCCAAAAAGUUUCAGACAGAAGAAUCUGUGUAUAGAGUGAUAUGUAUAUGAAUAGCCUCCGAAUAACGGGAAUGUGAAAUAUAGGAACACCUUCUUGUUCAGACAGAGGCUUAUAUCAAAAUCCGAAUCAGUUUUGGGUGUGAAAAAGCUCUCUCCUUUUUUGCCCUUCAAUUCCAAAUAUCCUUCAAUGGAUAGAUUCGAAUAUCUACUGAAUUGUUCUUUCAAGUUUAGUUUUAUUGUUUUUUGUUUUAAUCUUCUGAUUAGGCUCUAGUAGUUUUCUCUAGAUUACUUUGAUUUGGACAGGAAUUAGGAGCCAAUGUAUAUGUAUCAUUGUAAUUAGGAACCAAGACACAUUAUUGUUUGCCAAAGCUUUCACUUGAAUUAGCCAAAUAGUUUCAAGAAACAAAAUGUAGCAAAAGGAAUGAUGUUUAAGAGACGAAGAUAAUAUAAAAUGGGUUUGAUUAGUAGUAACUG
Molecule: small RNA, 922 nt
Filed under: Arabidopsis thaliana (thale cress)
Lineage: Eukaryota; Viridiplantae; Streptophyta; Magnoliopsida; Brassicales; Brassicaceae
Description: ATSL190830
Rfam family: Small nucleolar RNA snoR138 (bases 500-655)
Source: RNAcentral